UCUGCGUUCCCACGCACACACACAAAACCCUCCCCGCGGCCAACACCACCAGCAGCACCAUCCCCAAAGUGAUUUGGCAUCAUCGUGAGCCCUGGAAUAAAUUUCUCGGCCGGCCGUGCUCACGGACAGCUCGGCAGAAAAAGACUCAGGAUGUCCGUCCUGAGCUUGGCAGUCUUCCUGAUGCAGAUGAGAGAGGGGGCUUGCUUUAGGACAAGUCUUCAGCUCCUGAGGUCUUGAUGAGAAGAACAAUGAUGUUCCUGUUGCAGGGUUCUAAUUCCUCAGUCUUGGUUGCACACAGGUAAAAUACUGAAUUACUUUACAAAUUCAUGAUUUAUCUUUUGCUUCUUGACCUAUGCACUCCUUCAGCUCUCUCCUCAGCAACUCCUGUGUUGUCAUCUGAUUCAACACAUGCACAAGAAAAACAUACAGAGGGAGCUGAGUCAUGCUCUAAAUUGGGACCAUCAUCCUCUGAACACAAAAAACAUUCCUCUGCAGCACUU
Long non-coding RNA from Empidonax traillii (willow flycatcher), 500 nucleotides. RefSeq lists it as uncharacterized. The transcript has 3 exons. The record is from RefSeq and is a predicted model, not a curated record. NCBI's taxonomy places the organism in Eukaryota, Metazoa, Chordata, Aves, Passeriformes, Tyrannidae.